Molecule: long non-coding RNA, 4875 nt
Organism: Cavia porcellus (domestic guinea pig)
Lineage: Eukaryota; Metazoa; Chordata; Mammalia; Rodentia; Caviidae
Exons: 5
Source: RefSeq, a predicted model, not a curated record
UUCAGAACACAAGCCAUGCACUUCAUAGCUCCUGCCUCUGCUCACAUGGUUCUUUAAUUGGUAAUGCCCUUCCCUUCCUCUUCUACACUGAGUUCAAGGUUUUGGGCAGUGCUCUCCCUCUUUGCUCCCAGCACACGAAGGCUGUUUCCACUUACUGAAUAUUCAUGUGUCUUGCAUUAGCAUUAGCUGUUUACGUCUGUUUCCCCUUAGAGACUGUAACUCCUUGAAAAAGGGGCCAACUGAAUCUACUGGUCCCUGUAGACAAGCCCGGGACCUGCUAGGACGUGUUUAGUGUCCUAGGAGCUAUUUGUUGACCACAGAAGAUCUCCUUAAGGGGAAACCUCGCUCCAAUCAACAACUGUACAAUAGUGAAACAGGGCUAGCAGAAGGUGUCAAGCCACAGUGCAGAGGUGCUGCUGGGACUUGUUCCUUUACUAGGCUGUGAACUCCAGCAACGGUGAAGUCACACCUGAUCCCCAGGACCAAGCAUGGUGCCUGCUAACUAUUCAUUAAACAAAUGAACUAAUCCGAAGCACUUAUAGGGAGCACUCAGUCUUGAAGCAGCCAUGCUCAGACCAGGAACCAGCAGCAUGGGACAGGAAGGAGACAGAGCUGCUUUGACGACAAGGGCUGCGUCAGAAUGAAUGGCUAUGACGAAGGAGCAGACGCCGUUUGGAAACCCAAUUACUGCCUGCAAGAGCCUUGGUGAGGACUGCCACAUUCUACUCAACUGUUGGAACAGAGGUGAAACAGCUAAGGAUGGCCCUAAAAUAGUCACCUGCAAGAUCUGAGUGUCUCCUGAAUCCUGCAUCCUGGGCAAACUCCUGAUGCCUGAGAUACGGCUUGAAGGGAUGGCAUCUUCCCUACCUCCUAAUUACGAUCCUGUUCACUUGGCCCAUACAGGUCAGUAAGGAUGGAAGACUAGACAAGUCUGGCCUCACCUGACAUGUCCUGUAUUCUCUGGCAGCCGGAAGCCAUUGCUGUGAAGAUGGAGGCCAUUAGACACACCAUUGGACACACCGUUGGUGGACAUUUUGCCAUUCUGGACUUCUGGAAGGGAUGGAGAGAAAGUAACAAAAACAACUCAGGAGGAGUUCCUCAUUUCUUUUGGCUUUUGGCUUCCAUCACAGGGUCUGAUGGUUGCACUAUUCUCCCAUGGUAACACCCAGUGCCUGAGACCAACAGAUCAAUGGGCAACAGCAUAAAGAAAAGCCUGCGCGCCCUCUGCUGGCUGACUGAGGACACAGUUUUAGUUUAAUUUUUCCCUUAGCUUGAAUACAGGAUGGGGAUGAGGGUUGAUGAUGCGCCUGCAUCAACUAUAUGCAUCAGGAAGAAGUCAAUAAACAAGGUUGAACAGAGGAAGGGCAACUACCUAAGGUCCUCAGUAACCAGGACAUGGAAAGAACACACCUUUUUAGAGGAAGCAGAAAAUGGGGCAUAUAUCGUUGACCUACGAUUGUCUUGUUACUGUAGUAAUAGGGUCAUUUAAGAGAUCUCCUCCUUUUGGAGCAUUGCACCCAGAGUCCAGAGUAAAGGGCAGACUUCUCAGCAGAGGUAGAAGGUGCUGAAGUUCCCCAACCCACCUCAGCAGACACAGUAAGAGAGAACUUACCCCCGGAGGAAUGGCAUUUUCUAGGCAAGAGGAAGGUGUAUGGCCUUUGCUUGUAGGUCAGGUCAAACAAAUAGACCUAGAGUUGAGAAGCCAAGAAGAGAAAUGGAGGAUGUGAGGCAAGGAUGUGGCUGAACCACUAGCAAGGUCAUGAUGGUUCUCAAGAACUAGGGUCUUGCAUGCAGUAAGCACUGAUUAUGAAGCAGAUGAGCUAGUUUAGGAGGUAUUUCCUAGAAGUGAACUUCAGGGAGGAAACUAUUUCUAGCUUCUGGUCCUUGGGGUGGGCUGUUUGAUUUACCCAAAGCCCUGCUGAAUUACUGUCAUUAACUAGAAUCGUAAGUUUAAAUUGGAAAGGUCUUCAAAGAUCCCAAAACUAAAUGUCUCAUUUUAUGGAUGAGAAAACCAACAACUCAGAGAAGAGGCAAUUUGCUUCAAGUAACACAAAUGAGUUGGGCAUGAUGCCUGUAAUCCCAGAACUCAGGAGGCUGAGGCAGGAGAAUUGUUGUGAGUUUGAGACCAACCUGGGGUACACAGUGAGUUCAAGGCCAGCCUAAACUACAUAGUGAGACCCUGUCUCAAAAAGGGGGUGAAGCUGAAGAUUUAGCUCAGCAGUAUGAGUGCCUGCCUUGCAAGCACGCGGUCGUGAGUUUAAUCCCCAGUACCCACCCCCCCAAAAAAGUUUUAAAAAAUUAAAGUAACACAACUUCUCUCAGUAAGAAAAUAUUAUCUAUUACUAAACAUUUUUUUUCUUUUCAUUACUGAGAAUCAAACUCAAGGUCUUCACAAUGAGCUACAUCCCCAGUCCUUUUUAAAAAUUUUUAGACAGGGCCUUGUGAAGUUGCCCAACCUAGGCUAAAACUUGCAGUCCUCCUGAGUCAGUCACCCAGCAUGCUGGGAUUACAGGCAUUUAUUACCACAUGCAGCUUCCAGCCCUUUGCUUUUGUAUAUAUCACACAUUAUAAAGUCAUCACCAUUUCACCUGACAUGUCUCCUAUCAGCCUGGGGAAGGACAUAUUUGCAUUGGUCCCCUCUGUUUACAAUAAUGCUAGUCACAGUGAGUGGCUAGUUUUUGAGAAUGAAUCAAUCUAUACAAGGAUUAUGAAAUACUCUGAAAACACACAAAAGGUUUAGCAACCUGCCAUUAUCAAAGAACAUUUCUGCAAGUUGGCUCUAAACCACAGCCUGGUUACAUUCUCUGAGUCCCACUGAUUUCCUUGUAGGAAAACAGAAGAUAGGGAAACUGAGGCUCAGAAAAAUGAAGAGAAGUGCUCAAAGUCACAGUAAAUAGCUAUUAAACAGAAGACAAAUGUUUGAAAAUAGGUCUGUCAAUUUCAAAGUCUAUGUUUUCUUUCUUUCUUUCUUUUUUGGUUCCAGGGAUCGAAAUCAUGAUCUUGUGCCUGCCAGACGGGUGCUGUGCCACUGAGCUAAAUCCUCAAUCCAAGUCUAUGUUCUUAACCAAAUUAUAAGACAUGAAAGGGGAAAAAAGAGAUCAGGUUAGCAUACCUCUCCAGGAAUCUUUAUGUCACUUCUGUAUUUUGCCAUAUCAUUUACAAUGAGGCUGUGACUUUUGUCUAUCUCUGGGAAGUGACAAAAAGUAUGUAGCCCUGAUGGCUGGGCAUGAGACAGUGGUGGGGCACAGCCACUUUAGGCAGCUGAACUUACCUGCUCCCCUCCCAUGUUGACUAGCAGCUCCGUGCCGUUAGGGCUGAAGGUCACAUAGGUUGCAACCAGCACUCUCAGACGGUUGUUAUAGUCAGGCAGCUUCACUGGCAGAUGCCCUGUAGAGAACAGACCAGUCAGUCUGGAGUGCUGCUCCUAGUCUUCCUCAAAGGGGCUGGGGAUUAUGUGAAGAUAGCCCUACUGAAAACGUUUGCAGUCAACAUCAUAGGAGAUACAGGUAUUAACCCUUCACUAUCAGCACUGGGUCAGUUGUUUUAUAUGCUUUAUCUCAGUCAUUUAAAAAAAAACCCAUUUUAGGGGCCAGGGAUUUAGCUCAGGUAUAAGCACCUGCCUGGCAAGUGUGAGGUCAUGAGUCUGAUCCCCAAAAAACAAACAAAAAAUCAAAAUAACUCCCUACCCCAUUUUAUAGUAAAGAAACUCAUCAAGAUUAAGUAAUUUGCUAAAGAUUGCCUAGCUGAUCAAUGGCAGGAUCAGGAUUAAAAUCCAAAUUAACUAGGUGUGUGGCACACACCUGUAAUCCCAGCAUGUCUGUAAUCAGAGCACAUGGGAGGCUGAGGAAGGAGAUCAUUGUGAGUUCCAGGCCAGCCUGGGCUAGAGUUAGUUCAAGGUCAUCCAGAACUGCAUAGCAAAACCCUGUCUCAAAAACAAACAAAAAAACAAGAAAAAAGAAAAAGACCAAAUCUGUCUGACUCUAAAACCCUUGCUUGAACCUGGGAUUUAACUCAGCAGCAUAAGUGCUGCCUGGCAAGCACGAGAUCAUCAGGAGUAUGAACCUCGGUACCAAAAAAAAAAAAAAAGAAAAAAAAGUUAAAUUACGUACAUGUAGCAACUCUCUGCAAUGAAUGUAAUCAUUAUGAACUACAAACAUGUACUAAUAAACAUUAAAAUAAUAUUUAAUUAAAAACCCUCACUUGUGCCACACUGUGCCCCAGGACUACCUCAGAAAGAGUGAGUAUCCAGCCAAAAGUAUGAGGCCAGAGCCAGGCUGAGGCCUACCUGCUACAUAAUACUGGGCUGCACCAUCUGGAAGGGGUUUCUGCCUGUCACAGAAGGUGUGCACACCUGCUGAAGGGCUCUGCUUCAUGCUUUUUCUGGUGGGAAGGAAGAUCACACAGGUUAGAAUCCUAGCACUAACCCUGCCUACAAAACCAGAGGCUUCCCUAGAGGGAGCCUAAAUCUGUGUCCCUGAGAGACACAGAAGAUACCUUCUUCCUUAUUUAAAUGACUCCCAGGUCUACCCACUAGACAGCUAUGGAUAAACAUCUUAGUGUUUUACCAGGGACGUCCUGUAAACUGUCUGGAUCCUCAGGACUACCUUGUUAUUCUAACUCAUAAGGAAGCUAAGGAUGAGGGUCCACUUCAAGACACACAGUGUGGGAAGGGCAAUGGUGGUCUCUCAAAUCUGUGAAUGAAAGUAAAGCAGACCACACACAGCUGCACCUCUCCCAAGAAUCACAGAAAGCCCAGACUUCAUGAGCUUCUCAGGUCUGGGACUUAUUGGGGAACUGGGGGACUGCUGUGUAUAUUUUACUUUUUCUUUUUUUUUAAAAAAAGAUUAAAAUAAAAUUUCAUGUAUAAGACUAUAA